AGUAGGGUCAGCUAAAAAAGCUAUCGGGCCCAUACCCCGAAAACGAUGGUUCAACCCUUCCCCUACUA
This 68-nucleotide transfer RNA is filed under the name Podilymbus podiceps. RNAcentral describes it as "tRNA-Met". It matches the Rfam family "tRNA". Rfam says of the family: Transfer RNA (tRNA) molecules are approximately 80 nucleotides in length. Their secondary structure includes four short double-helical elements and three loops (D, anti-codon, and T loops). RNAcentral also lists the same sequence under 1 other name. The record is from RNAcentral. Lineage: Eukaryota; Metazoa; Chordata; Aves; Podicipediformes; Podicipedidae.